This is a long non-coding RNA of Balaenoptera acutorostrata (minke whale), 293 nucleotides long. RefSeq lists it as uncharacterized. The transcript is spliced from 3 exons. NCBI's taxonomy places the organism in Eukaryota, Metazoa, Chordata, Mammalia, Artiodactyla, Balaenopteridae. The record is from RefSeq and is a predicted model, not a curated record.
UGACUUUCAGAAUAUGCUGAGAUUUGAUUAUAAUUUAUGGUCUGGAUAUAAGGGGAGUGGAGCAUGAGAAAAGUAACACUAUUGCAAGAUAACUACAUCAGACAAGAUCUUCAAACAGGGAGGAACUUUCUCCUGGAAAGAAAUUUGGGCUGUCUACUUUGAGAGUUCUCGCAGACAAAGCUUCACAAGCCCCUUCAGAUCUUCCGUCAUGGACAACUUGCACUCCUCUCCCAUUGGUUACUUCAGAUGUCCAAUUACUUUGCUUGGCUUCCUUCUUCACAGAUGCACAGAUU